Long non-coding RNA from Panicum virgatum (switchgrass), 1459 nucleotides. RefSeq lists it as uncharacterized. The record is from RefSeq and is a predicted model, not a curated record. The transcript has 3 exons. Lineage: Eukaryota; Viridiplantae; Streptophyta; Magnoliopsida; Poales; Poaceae.
AAUAACAACAGGUAAAAUCGCUGGCUCGUCGGCGGCGCCGCGGCCAGAUCCGCCUCCAACCACCGAACCGAAGCGCGCCGCCGUCGACCUCCUCACCGUCGGUGUUGGGCUGGCGUUUGAGUCCGGUGGUCAUCUCCAUCCGCACCUGGCGUUGGUUUCUUUCGUAGCGAUGGACUCCUUUGGCCCCAUGGUGGAUCGCUCAGCUAAAUCAUCCAUCCGUGCCUCCGAUUCGGUCGGCGUCCAACGCGACCAGAUUGAUGCCAGAUGACGGCACUGGAUUUAGGAUCUGCAGGCUAGGAUUUGACCAUGGCCUUCCGGAUUGGAUAUAUCUAUCUACACUUGGGUUAUGAAAUCACGUUCCUAAAACAUCUGUCUUUGAUUUGUUUGCAUCUAUGGAUGGAGCUGAUUAGACGAAGUUCUAGAUCAAGCACACGUCAAAAGAAAUAAGCAUAUCUGUAAUGUGACAUUCUGCCGUUCAGCAUGCCCUAAAGAUUUUAGUUACAGGUGAAUAACACAUUAACACGAGACUCCUAUUUUUUUUUCCUUGGGCUCAUGGUUAUUUGGAGAGAUGACAUGAAUCCCUCAUUCAUCCAUUCGUUUUUAGUCUCAGGAAGUCUUAACCAAAUUGGAAUUUCAUUAGAACAGGAGAGCUAGAUAUAAGGGCGUGGCUUCUUCUGUGUUGAAGACAAUGGCAGAGAAGGCAGGGCCUGCCAUCCAUAGGCAGGCUGUGAUAGUGACUGUUGCAGUGGAAUCUAGGGCGCGCCAUCUACUUGGCCUCCAGUAACAUACUUAUCUUCAGCUUGGUGUAAAGGCACGUCGUUGCAAUGGAUUGUCAUACACAGUAAAUUAUGCUGGCACGCUGUUCUGUUCUCCGGACUGAAUUUCUAAUAGCUUUGAAGAUAAAGGAGUGAAGAUACUAAUUGAUCCAAAAGCUCUUAUGCAUGUUGUUGGAACCGAAAUGGAUAUUAUUGAUGAUCCUCUUAGGUAUUUUGAUUGUUUCCUACCAAGCUCUUAUGCUAGCCCAGUUGGUUAGUCACUCCGGCGGCACCCCUCAGGUCCUGAGUUCGACUCCCUGUGGGAGCGAAUUUCAGGCUAAGGAUAAAAAAAUCCCCUCGCUGGUCCUGUGUGUCAAAGCACUGGUUGUGAGACGGCCCAAGUCGGCUUGAGGACCCUUACAUGGCCCAGGCACAGUUCUCAGGGGGUUACGUCUCCCAGUGUCAGGGCGGGGUCAGGGUUCGGAGAUUUUCUCGGUCAGGGAAGCCGAGGCUUCUUCUUAAGUUAAUACCGGUGGGGCGGUCUUUCCCCACCCGGCCGAGUUUUUAAUUCUGUUGCGCUGCAACUCACAUAAUAGUUUGGUGGUGGUAAUAUUUCGCUGGUCAGAUUUCGUGUUUAUGAACCCCCAAAUCAAAAGGAGCGUCAUUCCAGAAAUUUAUGAUAACACUACCAAUUGUUGCAUUUA